AUGCCAGCCAGCCUAGAAGGCAACCAGAGGUCGACACUGAGCUUUGCUGCUUCAGCGAUGGGAGCUGUGCUGAGCGCGGGACCCCACCUGCAUUUCUCCAGGCAUGGGAGAGGAGAAAAUCUACCAAAGGUCAGACUCUUCCCAAGAAGCCAACCCAUCCCAGGCCUGAACUUUAUGGACGCAUCCUCCCCACAUCCCCAGUUUUGGGAUGCAAGGCACACUGGAAAAUCUCCAGAGAGCUGCCAGCCUCCACAGCUCGCCCAGCCCAGAGGCCGCAGGGUCUCCGAGACUGAAAUUGAUCUCUGUUGCUUUGGAUGGACGUAGUUCCCAGAGUGGAACCAAGUGGCUGAAGGAUCUAUGUGCCUUGAGGAUUCCUGAUACCAGAGGCUAAAACGUUUCCUUUAACACUGUAUCAACUUCAAUGCUAUCAACAAUAAAUGUUCCACAUACAAAUCAAUGAUCAUGAUAUUGCUUUGUAUAUGUGCAUUUAUACAGUUUUCUCAGAUCCCCCAGAUUGACUGCCCGGCUCUUUCUUUGCUUAUUGGAAGUCCACAAAAAUCUUCUCCUUUCUCAUAUGGAAGCAACUCUCACUCAUUUACUACUUAACUCAUUCUUUAGACUCAGUGAGGGCAGGAGGCAUAGCUUAGAAUUUCCUUUCCCAGUUUAGCACCUUUUCAGUAGGUUUUAAGAAGCAAAGACUCAAUCAGGUUAGCUUAAGCAAUGGAGGCAUCACAUAAAAAUCAAGUGACACUAUCAAACCCAGAUAUGCCUUUUUGGAGUCCCAAAGAGGUAAGAGGAAAAGAAAG
RNAcentral lists this long non-coding RNA (806 nucleotides) under Chinchilla lanigera (long-tailed chinchilla). RNAcentral describes it as "lncRNA (ENSCLAG00000028088.1)". The record is from RNAcentral. Lineage: Eukaryota; Metazoa; Chordata; Mammalia; Rodentia; Chinchillidae.